UUUUUUAGGNUUUNNNUNCCCCGUCAGGACGAACGCUGGCGGCGUGCCUAAUACAUGCAAGUCGAACGCUUCUUUCCUCCCGAGUGCUUGCACUCAAUUGGAAAGAGGAGUGGCGGACGGGUGAGUAACACGUGGGUAACCUACCCAUCAGAGGGGGAUAACACUUGGAAACAGGUGCUAAUACCGCAUAACAGUUUAUGCCGCAUGGCAUAAGAGUGAAAGGCGCUUUCGGGUGUCGCUGAUGGAUGGACCCGCGGUGCAUUAGCUAGUUGGUGAGGUAACGGCUCACCAAGGCCACGAUGCAUAGCCGACCUGAGAGGGUGAUCGGCCACACUGGGACUGAGACACGGCCCAGACUCCUACGGGAGGCAGCAGUAGGGAAUCUUCGGCAAUGGACGAAAGUCUGACCGAGCAACGCCGCGUGAGUGAAGAAGGUUUUCGGAUCGUAAAACUCUGUUGUUAGAGAAGAACAAGGACGUUAGUAACUGAACGUCCCCUGACGGUAUCUAACCAGAAAGCCACGGCUAACUACGUGCCAGCAGCCGCGGUAAUACGUAGGUGGCAAGCGUUGUCCGGAUUUAUUGGGCGUAAAGCGAGCGCAGGCGGUUUCUUAAGUCUGAUGUGAAAGCCCCCGGCUCAACCGGGGAGGGUCAUUGGAAACUGGGAGACUUGAGUGCAGAAGAGGAGA
RNAcentral lists this ribosomal RNA (688 nucleotides) under Enterococcus faecalis. RNAcentral's name for it is "bacterial SSU rRNA". It matches the Rfam family "Bacterial small subunit ribosomal RNA", at positions 1 to 660 of the family's 1533-position model. The record is from RNAcentral. Lineage: Bacteria; Bacillati; Bacillota; Bacilli; Lactobacillales; Enterococcaceae.